Long non-coding RNA from Salvelinus namaycush (lake trout), 353 nucleotides. RefSeq lists it as uncharacterized. The transcript is spliced from 3 exons. Lineage: Eukaryota; Metazoa; Chordata; Actinopteri; Salmoniformes; Salmonidae. The record is from RefSeq and is a predicted model, not a curated record.
UACAGGUUCAGAUUCAUAACAUCUGGAGGAAAGUUUUCUGGCUCACGUGUCUCCCUGACUGUCACAGAUGUUGUGUUGGAGAUGGAUCCUACAUCUGUGUCAGAGAGGGAGAAUGUCACACUGACAUGUAGAACCAAAUGUACACUGGACCCCAUCACAGCCUUCAGUUGGUAUAAGAAUGGACAGCCUAUACCAAACAGCAACACCUCCUCUCCUGUCUAUAUCCUAUUCUCAGUCAGCAGUGAGGAUACAGGCAGAUACUCCUGUGCUGUAGAAGGCCAUGAGGAUCUCCCCUCUGCUGAAGAGACUCUCACUGUCACAUAUGGUCCAAGGAACACCUCAGUGUCAGUCAG